AACAGGAUUAGAUACCCUGGUAGUCCACGCCGUAAACGAUGUCGACUUGGAGGUUGUUCCCUUGAGGAGUGGCUUCCGGAGCUAACGCGUUAAGUCGACCGCCUGGGGAGUACGGCCGCAAGGUUAAAACUCAAAUGAAUUGACGGGGGCCCGCACAAGCGGUGGAGCAUGUGGUUUAAUUCGAUGCAACGCGAAGAACCUUACCUACUCUUGACAUCCACGGAAUUUGGCAGAGAUGCCUUAGUGCCUUCGGGAACCGUGAGACAGGUGCUGCAUGGCUGUCGUCAGCUCGUGUUGUGAAAUGUUGGGUUAAGUCCCGCAACGAGCGCAACCCUUAUCCUUUGUUGCCAGCGAUUCGGUCGGGAACUCAAAGGAGACUGCCGGUGAUAAACCGGAGGAAGGUGGGGAUGACGUCAAGUCAUCAUGGCCCUUACGAGUAGGGCUACACACGUGCUACAAUGGCGCAUACAAAGAGAAGCGACCUCGCGAGAGCAAGCGGACCUCACAAAGUGCGUCGUAGUCCGGAUCGGAGUCUGCAACUCGACUCCGUGAAGUCGGAAUCGCUAGUAAUCGUGGAUCAGAAUGCCACGGUGAAUACGUUCCCGGGCCUUGUACACACCGCCCGUCACACUAUGGGAGUGGGUUGCAAAAGAAGUAGGUAGCUUAACCUUCGGGAGGGCGCUUACCACUUUGUGAUUCAUGACUGGGGUGAAGUCGUAACAAGGUAACC
This 730-nucleotide ribosomal RNA is filed under the name uncultured bacterium. RNAcentral's name for it is "bacterial SSU rRNA". It matches the Rfam family "Bacterial small subunit ribosomal RNA", at positions 771 to 1501 of the family's 1533-position model. The record is from RNAcentral.